CCUACGGGAGGCAGCAGUGAGGAAUAUUGGUCAAUGGGAGAGAUCCUGAACCAGCCAAGCCGCGUGAGGGAAGACGGCCCUAUGGGUUGUAAACCUCUUUUGUCGGAGAACAAAACCCGGGACGUGUCCCGGACUGCGUGUAUCCGAAGAAAAAGCAUCGGCUAACUCCGUGCCAGCAGCCGCGGUAAUACGGAGGAUGCGAGCGUUAUCCGGAUUUAUUGGGUUUAAAGGGUGCGUAGGCGGUCCGUUAAGUCAGCGGUAAAAUGGCGGGGCUCAACCCCGUCGAGCCGUUGAAACUGGUAGACUUGAGUUGGCGAGAAGUACGCGGAAUGCGCGGUGUAGCGGUGAAAUGCAUAGAUAUCGCGCAGAACUCCGAUUGCGAAGGCAGCGUACCGGCGCCAGACUGACGCUGAGGCACGAAAGCGUGGGGAUCGAACAGGAUUAGAUACCCCAGUAGUC
This 459-nucleotide ribosomal RNA is filed under the name uncultured bacterium. Its description in RNAcentral is "partial 16S ribosomal RNA". It matches the Rfam family "Bacterial small subunit ribosomal RNA", at positions 338 to 795 of the family's 1533-position model. The record is from RNAcentral.